UACGUAUUACGUGCGGAAAUUGUUACCAUUUUCGGCUCAAAAAUGGUAACAAUUUCCGCACGUAAUACAAA
This 71-nucleotide microRNA precursor is filed under the name Paramuricea clavata. Lineage: Eukaryota; Metazoa; Cnidaria; Anthozoa; Malacalcyonacea; Plexauridae. The record is from RNAcentral.